AUUGAACGCUGGCGGCAGGCCUAACACAUGCAAGUCGAGCGGAUGAAGGGAGCUUGCUCCUGGAUUCAGCGGCGGACGGGUGAGUAAUGCCCAGGAAUCUGCCUGGUAGUGGGGGAUAACGUCCGUUAACGGGCGCUAAUACCGCAUACGUCCUGAGGGAGAAAGUGGGGGAUCUUCGGACCUCACCCUAUCAGAUGAGCCUAGGUCGGAUUAGCUAGUUGGUGGGGUAAAGGCCUACCAAGGCGACGAUCCGUAACUGGUCUGAGAGGAUGAUCAGUCACACUGGAACUGAGACACGGUCCAGACUCCUACGGGAGGCAGCAGUGGGGAAUAUUGGACAAUGGGCGAAAGCCUGAUCCAGCCAUGCCGCGUGUGUGAAGAAGGUCUUCGGAUUGUAAAGCACUUUAAGUUGGGAGGAAGGGCAGUAAGUUAAUACCUUGCUGUUUUGACGUUACCAACAGAAUAAGCACCGGCUAACUUCGUG
RNAcentral lists this ribosomal RNA (484 nucleotides) under uncultured bacterium. Its description in RNAcentral is "partial 16S ribosomal RNA". It matches the Rfam family "Bacterial small subunit ribosomal RNA", at positions 30 to 507 of the family's 1533-position model. The record is from RNAcentral.